UCUUUUAUAUUGUCUGGGUGCCCCACAAC
RNAcentral lists this non-coding RNA (29 nucleotides) under Mus musculus (house mouse). The record is from RNAcentral. Lineage: Eukaryota; Metazoa; Chordata; Mammalia; Rodentia; Muridae.